RNAcentral lists this ribosomal RNA (321 nucleotides) under Pelobates cultripes (western spadefoot toad). RNAcentral's name for it is "SSU_rRNA_microsporidia". It matches the Rfam family "Eukaryotic small subunit ribosomal RNA", at positions 191 to 473 of the family's 1831-position model. Lineage: Eukaryota; Metazoa; Chordata; Amphibia; Anura; Pelobatidae. The record is from RNAcentral.
UUGGAGUAGCCCCCAAAUAUUGGAACAUAUAAAAAAAGACAACGCUGUUCCGCAGAGUAGCUGUUGACAUUAUAGUUGCGCAGAAACUUUGUUGACUCUAGAGAACCUCGGGCAAAUCGCACAUCCCCGUGGCGACGACUUUGCAUGCGGAUGUCAUCCAUAUCAACUUUCGAUGGCAGUUUCUGCGCCUACCAUGGUGACAACGGGUAACAUGGAAUCAGGGUUCCAUUCCGUACAGGGAACCUCAGAAACGGCUACCACAUGCAAGCAAGGUAGCAGGCGCGCAAAUUACCCACUCCCGACACGGGAAGGUAGUGACGA